This 199-nucleotide ribosomal RNA is filed under the name uncultured bacterium. Its description in RNAcentral is "partial 16S ribosomal RNA". It matches the Rfam family "Bacterial small subunit ribosomal RNA", at positions 337 to 526 of the family's 1533-position model. The record is from RNAcentral.
UCCUACGGGAGGCAGCAGUGGGGAAUAUUGCGCAAUGGACGAAAGUCUGACGCAGCAACGCCGCGUGGGUGACGAAGGCCCUUGGGUCGUAAAGCCCUGUCAGGAGGGAAGAACAAUCGGGAGGAAUAAUACCCUUUCGGUCUGACGGUACCUCCAAAGGAAGCACCGGCUAACUACGUGCCAGCAGCCGCGGUAAUAC